AUUGAACGCUGGCGGCAGGCCUAACACAUGCAAGUCGAACGGUAACAGGAAACAGCUUGCUGUUUCGCUGACGGGUGGCGGACGGGUGAGUAAUGUCUGGGCAACUGCCUGAUGGAGGGGGAUAACUACUGGAAACGGUAGCUAAUACCGCAUAACGUCGCAAGACCAAAGAGGGGGACCCUCGGGCCUCUUGCCAUCGGAUGUGCCCAGAUGGGAUUCGCUUGUUGGUGGGGUAACGGCUCACCAAGGCGACGAUCCCUAGCUGGUCUGAGAGGAUGACCAGCCACACUGGAACUGAGACACGGUCCAGACUCCUACGGGAGGCAGCAGUGGGGAAUAUUGCACAAUGGGCGCAAGCCUGAUGCAGCCAUGCCGCGUGUAUGAAGAAGGCCUUCGGGUUGUAAAGUACUUUCAGCGGGGAGGAAGGGAGUAAAGUUAAUACCUUUGCUCAUUGACGUUACCCGCAGAAGAAGCACCGGCUAACUCCGUG
RNAcentral lists this ribosomal RNA (490 nucleotides) under uncultured bacterium. RNAcentral's name for it is "partial 16S ribosomal RNA". It matches the Rfam family "Bacterial small subunit ribosomal RNA", at positions 30 to 507 of the family's 1533-position model. The record is from RNAcentral.